This 763-nucleotide ribosomal RNA is filed under the name uncultured Streptococcus sp. Its description in RNAcentral is "bacterial SSU rRNA". It matches the Rfam family "Bacterial small subunit ribosomal RNA", at positions 28 to 776 of the family's 1533-position model. Lineage: Bacteria; Bacillati; Bacillota; Bacilli; Lactobacillales; Streptococcaceae. The record is from RNAcentral.
GACGAACGCUGGCGGCGUGCCUAAUACAUGCAAGUAGAACGCUGAAGGAGGAGCUUGCUUCUCCGGAUGAGUUGCGAACGGGUGAGUAACGCGUAGGUAACCUGCCUGGUAGCGGGGGAUAACUAUUGGAAACGAUAGCUAAUACCGCAUAAGAGUAGAUGUUGCAUGACAUUUGCUUAAAAAGUGCAAUUGCAUCACUACCAGAUGGACCUGCGUUGUAUUAGCUAGUUGGUGGGGUAACGGCUCACCAAGGCGACGAUACAUAGCCGACCUGAGAGGGUGAUCGGCCACACUGGGACUGAGACACGGCCCAGACUCCUACGGGAGGCAGCAGUAGGGAAUCUUCGGCAAUGGACGGAAGUCUGACCGAGCAACGCCGCGUGAGUGAAGAAGGUUUUCGGAUCGUAAAGCUCUGUUGUAAGAGAAGAACGAGUGUGAGAGUGGAAAGUUCACACUGUGACGGUAUCUUACCAGAAAGGGACGGCUAACUACGUGCCAGCAGCCGCGGUAAUACGUAGGUCCCGAGCGUUGUCCGGAUUUAUUGGGCGUAAAGCGAGCGCAGGCGGUUAGAUAAGUCUGAAGUUAAAGGCUGUGGCUUAACCAUAGUACGCUUUGGAAACUGUUUAACUUGAGUGCAAGAGGGGAGAGUGGAAUUCCAUGUGUAGCGGUGAAAUGCGUAGAUAUAUGGAGGAACACCGGUGGCGAAAGCGGCUCUCUGGCUUGUAACUGACGCUGAGGCUCGAAAGCGUGGGGAGCAAACAGG